GUCGAGAAUUUUUCACAAUGGGCGAAAGCCUGAUGGAGCGACGCCGCGUGGGGGAUGAAUGGCUUCGGCCCGUAAACCCCUGUCAUUCGGGAUCAAAUUCGUCAACCUAACACGUUGACGGCUGAUAGUACCGAAAGAGGAAGGGACGGCUAACUCUGUGCCAGCAGCCGCGGUAAUACAGAGGUCCCAAGCGUUGUUCGGAUUUACUGGGCGUAAAGGGCGCGUAGGUGGCGGGCUAAGUCUGGUGUGAAAUCUCUGAGCUCAACUCAGAAAUGGCAUUAGAUACUAGUCUGCUUGAGGGUUGGAGGGGAGACUGGAAUUCUCGGUGUAGCAGUGAAAUGCGUAGAUAUCGAGAGGAACACCAGUGGCGAAGGCGAGUCUCUGGACAACUCCUGACACUGAGGCGCGAAAGCUAGGGGAGCAAACGGGAUUAGAUACCCGGGUAGUCC
This 449-nucleotide ribosomal RNA is filed under the name uncultured bacterium. RNAcentral describes it as "bacterial SSU rRNA". It matches the Rfam family "Bacterial small subunit ribosomal RNA", at positions 354 to 796 of the family's 1533-position model. The record is from RNAcentral.